Tigriopus californicus is the source of this 1712-nucleotide long non-coding RNA. RefSeq lists it as uncharacterized. The transcript is spliced from 2 exons. The record is from RefSeq and is a predicted model, not a curated record. Lineage: Eukaryota; Metazoa; Arthropoda; Copepoda; Harpacticoida; Harpacticidae.
UUAUCGUGCAGAGGAAUAUGUAUUUUGUAUCAACAACUCUGUACAGCAAAAAAGAGGAGGGUGACUGCCUGAUCAGUACUAGCGACCUACAACCCUCCAACGCUUCAACGAACGGAAUCAGUGACCGAUUCACUCAGAAUCCGGCCACGUUUGCCGAUGAAUAAGCAUGAGUCACUGUGCACCAAAAUUUAUGCACCAGCAGAUGAAGGAAGACAUGUGACCGCAUUUUUCCUCGCGCAAUGCGAGGUCUAGUUAUACGUAGGCGAGGUAAUCCUGCUACCUGGCGGCCAUAAUUGACCUCAAAGUCAGCUGUUUGUUAUGAUUUGGUUUUGGGUGGACAGAUUUUGAAGCUCACAACCGUCAGAACAACGGACAUUGUCCCUCGUUUUCAAGACAUUUCGGCGUCAUCAAACUAGUUGUACUUCUAUUGAAAGGGCGUUUUCCAUCUACAAAGUAUGGCGGCUUUUUCAAAAACCUCACUUGAUGGCAAACUUGUUCAUGGAGUGAAUGAGACCCGAGAGGAUGGAUAACAUCAGUAUAGUGAUGUCGAACAUACCGCGAUGCUAAGACAUUGAUUCUCCAGAAGAGCAUAUCCAACACUAUGGAAUUGACCCUCCACAAAAACGAAAGGCGGAUGGCAGUCAAUUCAAUUGUAAGACAACACUUCAUCAUCACCGGGGCUCUCGGGGCCGUCACCUGCCUUUUGAAUCAACUGUGGCUCUCCAAGCAAGCGGCUACCAAAAAGCACCAUUCAACAAACUGCAUGGCUCUUCACAGGCACUCACCUACGUUUUGAUCUUUGUUUUGAUUUGACAUUUCGGAUGGAUCCCGUGAAGAGUGAUUGGCGUCAAUGAUAGUGAACAAGGUCAAAAUCAAAAUGAAGAAGCUUGAGGAUAAAAGCGCUCAACCAGAUAUCUUUCAAAAUAACGAGUUAUCAUUCAAGAUAAAGAAAGUCAAAGCUCACAAAAACCGCCAUUUGGAUGAGAAAUGUGCUUUAGUCAUAUGGAUCGAAAGUAAAACCGGAAAAAUGAUUCCAGCAGAGGAAAAAAAUGGAAUACCUGAUUAGAUUCAUGUCCAUCUGAUGAGUUUGCCAACUAUGGCACAAUGUACUUGAAAUAUGGAAUGUCAACGAGCUUCCCGCCAAAUCGGCCUGCUCUUGGUCGUAGCAACUCCGAGCCACUUUCCGAAUCAAACUAGUAACAUAAGAAACGUAGAGAUCUCUUCAAUUACAGGCAGGUCACUUUAUAUCAUUCACUUUUAAGUGGUUCGUUUCAGGCGGAAAAUUCAAACUUUUUUUCAGUGCAUGUUUCUUGAGUUCCCAAGGCAUGGUUUUGGGCUCAAAUUUGGCCAAGAUCAUCUCUUCAGCAAGAUUUUGUGGUCGUAUGUCAAGCUUAUUUGGAAAAAAGUGAACGAUUUAGGAGAUAAUAAAUGUUUGCUUUUGUUUGCAGUUGACAUCUCUAGAAGUUCGUGGUAUAAUCCAACAUUUGCCGCAUAACCCAGUCAUUGGGGCUCAAGGAAUCGAAGGUUCAAAGGCUUCUCUGGCCGCUUCUUCCCAAUCACGUCCGUAUUAACGCCAUGCUCUCAGGCUGUCCAGAGAUUUGGCUGGAAAGAGCAUUGGAUAUCAGUUCUUCUUUCUUCCCGUCCACUAUUUUUGGGCCACUCACUCUUCAUGAGAUCUACUUGGAUUGGCAAUAGAGCGAAGGUCGAAUCAA